This 398-nucleotide ribosomal RNA is filed under the name uncultured Gammaproteobacteria bacterium. RNAcentral describes it as "bacterial SSU rRNA". It matches the Rfam family "Bacterial small subunit ribosomal RNA", at positions 9 to 412 of the family's 1533-position model. The record is from RNAcentral. Lineage: Bacteria; Pseudomonadati; Pseudomonadota; Gammaproteobacteria.
GAGUUUGAUCGUGGCUCAGAUUGAACGCUGGCGGCAGGCCUAACACAUGCAAGUCGAGCGGUUGAGGUAGCUUGCUACCGAUGCAGCGGCGAACGGGUGAGUAAUACAUGGGAAUCUGCCUGGUAGUGGGGGACAACGUCUCGAAAGGGACGCUAAUACCGCAUACGCCCUACGGGGGAAAGGGGGGAGUCUUCGGACCUCUCGCUAUCAGAUGAGCCCAUGUCAGAUUAGCUAGUUGGUGGGGUAAAGGCUCACCAAGGCGACGAUCUGUAACUGGUCUGAGAGGAUGAUCAGUCACACUGGAACUGAGACACGGUCCAGACUCCUACGGGAGGCAGCAGUGGGGAAUAUUGCGCAAUGGGCGAAAGCCUGACGCAGCGACGCCGCGUGGGGAUGAC